Molecule: long non-coding RNA, 296 nt
Filed under: Homo sapiens (human)
Lineage: Eukaryota; Metazoa; Chordata; Mammalia; Primates; Hominidae
Description: HSALNT0265777
Source: RNAcentral
GCUCAUCCUGACUGAUGCCACCAUUUCAAGAGAAGAGAAAUGAGACUGAGAAAGAUUAAGAUAUUUUCUUAAGAUUGGACACUGUGUUCCUACCCGUUGUGCUUGCCUUAUAGGCGAAAGAGAAUUUAUUUAAGCACAGAGAUCAAGCAAAAGUGGAGCACAGGACACACUUUCAAGUUGCCUUGGGGACUGCUCUGUAGAACAAAAAAGAAACUCAAGAUUUUAAGGAAUAAAAAGUACAAAUGAAGAGAAGGCAUGAUUACAAAAGUUGUUGAUCAGUAAUUCUCAUUGGUAGA